This is a long non-coding RNA of Equus caballus (horse), 1948 nucleotides long. The record is from Ensembl. Lineage: Eukaryota; Metazoa; Chordata; Mammalia; Perissodactyla; Equidae.
UGGAGACCAAAGUUAAAAGAUUCCAUUGGGCAUUCCAGAAUACAUCUUAUUAUGUCCUACAAGAAUUCCCUUUCAGCAAAAUAUCUCUUGCUGAAGAUCAAGUGUGUGUGCUGCCGAAGUGAACACAGCAAGACCUUCGCUUCAGCGCAGGGUCUGGCACAGAAUGGGCCAUCGGAGCUCCCUUUGGUGAUCUUUCCUCUGGGUGAAAGAGUUGACAGCAAAGAAAGUCCUCAGUUCUGACACGUUUACCAGCUCACUCUUGUCUCUGAGCCUGCGGUUUGCCUGACACACUGAACAAGUCCACAAGGCUUCAGAGAAUCUGAGAUAUUCCUGGGAAAAGGCCUCCUGAUUACUCUACAAAUCCUUUUGGAUUCUUGUUCUUAGAACGAUUGCACAAUUAGCUGUCAGAGAGACAGGGAUAACCUCCCAGUAAGGGUACUCGGCACUUCCUGGAGAAGCCCCAGAUGUGACCAUCUGACUUUCCAUGUCCUGGUCCAGUCCAGGAGAGACCACCGGUGUGUGUGACCACUGCUCAGGAAGACUCUGGCAGAUGCAGCUACCAAAGAUUCUAAAUCCCAGGUCUCUACAAUGUUAAGUAUCAGCUCAAGCCAAGCGUAUCUCAUGUUGCAACUUCCCUCCACAGUCCUUGGGGGUGCCAUCGUUAAGCAUGUCUAAGUGUGAUGUAUCUAAGUGUCUCACGUUAGUCGAGGCAACUGAAUAGAAGUGGUAUACUUGCCUUCAUCAGGCCCAGCUCUUUUGCAAAGUAAAUAGUGUUAUUAGUCCUGAUUUCCUAGAAAUGGCAAAGCAGUAGUUUAUCAUCAGCCUAGGACUAUGAAGACUGUGCACAGAGUCUUGGCAUUUAUUCUAAUGGGUGUUGUACCAUCAACAGGUUGCUGAGAGAAGCCCUGGAGAACAGCAUACAGUAUCUAUUUCAUUGGAGAACAGACCCAACACUGUUUGCAAGAACUCUGCGGAAGCGUGGAAAGCCUGGAUUUCAGCAAUUUGUGCUUGGUGCCGCAGCUUCAGUCACUUAAAGGUGUUUUGCAACCUGUGUUUUGGCAAAGUGUAUCUUCCGACUUUAUUCAAAGUCCCAGAGAAAAAAUGUAUUCUAACCAAGCAAUAAAAAAAAGAGCAGAAAACAUCUUUCCUAGUAAACACUGAAUGAACAGACCAGCAUUUGUGAGGAACCCAUUAACUCACGGCUCAUCCAGAAAGUGUGUAUGAGAACACCAGUUUUUCUAAUGAUUACUCAUUUUUGAAUGGAGCGAGCUCUCUGCUGAAGAAUAGUAUCAGGAGGAGUGUUCUUGAGUUGGAGAUACAAAUGCACCUGCAUCCCGGGAUAGUAACUCUAUAAAGAUUGAGAUGUUUCUCCUCUUCACUGCUCUGUCACCAACAGAGAGCAGUGGUUCUGGCACAAAGAAGUUCUCAAUAAAUAUGUUUUGAAUGAAUAAAUGGACAACUCUACAACUCAGAGCAGGGAAACUAGCAAACCGUGGAAGACCCACAGAGGCCACCAGCACAAGGUGAUCUUCAGUAACCAACAUGCUCUGAUGAUGAUGACUGUAGCAGACACUGGAGCUUAGCUGACGGUUUCCAUCCCCCCUUUCAACAGUACCCUAAUUUGGGCCAGGACCUGUGCAAACACUGGCAUUGGGUUGGAUUCUCCUCACUUCUGUCUGGGAGCAGGACAGAGGACUAGAGAGGCUAACCAAUGGAGAAGAGCACUUUGUCCACUGGAGACCUGGUGGGCUCCCUGCUGCUCUGGGCUUACCGCAAAUGGCACUGCAAAAAGGCCGGGACAGAGGCUCCUGGACACAGGUCAGAAAUCUCUGCCAUAGAAAGCAGUGGGUGGAGAACUGAGACUGGACUUGGGCCUCAUAUUUCUUAUCAAACAAAACACACAAGGAAUCAGAACUUACAAAACCCUCCCUAUCUCUCCUUAUCUGUG